Molecule: ribosomal RNA, 331 nt
Filed under: uncultured eukaryote
Lineage: Eukaryota
Description: partial 18S ribosomal RNA
Rfam family: Eukaryotic small subunit ribosomal RNA
Source: RNAcentral
CCCUUAGAUGUUCUGGGCCGCACACGCGCUACACUGGCAGGUUCAUCGAGCUUCAUGCCCUGAUCUGAGAAGAACGGGAAAUCUUUGAACACCUGCCGUGCUUGGGAUAGAUGUUUGCAAUUAUUCAUCUUCAACGAGGAUUGCCUUGUAAGCGCACGUCAUCAGCGUGCAUUGAAUACGACCCUGUAUUCUGUACACACCGCCCGUCGCUCCUACCGAUUGAAGUUUUCGGUGAAUUUACUGGAGAUCCCUUUUGAAGGUGGUUCGCCACUGGAAGAAGUAUUCAAAAGUAAAUGAAUCGAAUGCUUUAGAGGAAGGAGAAGUCGUAACA